This 80-nucleotide transfer RNA is filed under the name Ipomoea nil (Japanese morning glory). It matches the Rfam family "tRNA". Rfam says of the family: Transfer RNA (tRNA) molecules are approximately 80 nucleotides in length. Lineage: Eukaryota; Viridiplantae; Streptophyta; Magnoliopsida; Solanales; Convolvulaceae. The record is from Rfam by way of RNAcentral.
CACGGUUUGGUUGAGUGGUCUAAGGCGCCAAAUUUAGGCUCUGGUUUAAAAGGGCGUGGGUUCAAAACCCACAGCCGUGA